CGAGUUUUUAAGCGUUGUCUCGUCAAUAACUAGUGAUCUUGGUUUUUUGUUUUCAGUUGCUGUUCUUUGGGAGUCAUGAGGAUCUUCCUAUAUUCAAGUUUGAGAACCUGACAAGCUUUUCUCUGGAUGGGUGCCGUAUCAACGACGACUUCCUCGGGCUGCGCAAAUACCUGUACAACUCGCCUAACCUGCAGAAGCUCACUUUGCGACAUUGCAAGGUCUCGGAUUUCCAAUCUACAAAGGAGGUGAUGAAAUGCCGCCAAUCAUAUUCCAAGGGCAUGGCGCGUUUCAAGUGCAACAACCUUAGGCUUACUGAAACCAUACACCGAGAUGGUGAUGCUUCUGUCGAUCCGUUUGUCAAGUUUUUCAGGGGCGUGCGGAGGAAUCUGCCAAACAACAAGAUCAAACUCAUUCCGCUCAAGAAGAAGAAAUAAAAGACUGAACUCGCUAUAGUCGAUUAGCGGAAGCGUAUGGCAAUACACUAGGUUUCCUAUCAUUUGCUGAUUUCAGGAAACUAGGUUGCACAUGUGUCAUCAUUUUUACCUUUUUAAUAAAUUCAUCAUGAGUCCUUGGCUUUAAUUGUGUCGGAUGGUUGAGAUCGUUUGGAUUUCAGCAACUCGUAACUUUUAUACUAGUGUAGACUAGGUUCUUGGUUGAAGUGGAAGUGUCACGAUCCCCUCGUCUAUAUAUAUGGAUUUAUUUUUCAUUUGGGAUGGCA
This is a long non-coding RNA of Triticum aestivum (bread wheat), 718 nucleotides long. RefSeq lists it as uncharacterized. The transcript is spliced from 3 exons. Lineage: Eukaryota; Viridiplantae; Streptophyta; Magnoliopsida; Poales; Poaceae. The record is from RefSeq and is a predicted model, not a curated record.